RNAcentral lists this ribosomal RNA (441 nucleotides) under uncultured bacterium. RNAcentral's name for it is "SSU rRNA". It matches the Rfam family "Bacterial small subunit ribosomal RNA", at positions 26 to 518 of the family's 1533-position model. The record is from RNAcentral.
AGAACGAACGCUGGCGGCAUGCCUAACACAUGCAAGUCGAACGAGACCUUCGGGUCUAGUGGCGCACGGGUGCGUAACGCGUGGGAAUCUGCCCUUGGGUUCGGGAUAACAGUUGGAAACGACUGCUAAUACCGGAUGAUGACUUCGGUCCAAAGAUUUAUCGCCCAGGGAUGAGCCCGCGUAGGAUUAGCUAGUUGGUGAGGUAAAGGCUCACCAAGGCGACGAUCCUUAGCUGGUCUGAGAGGAUGAUCAGCCACACUGGGACUGAGACACGGCCCAGACUCCUACGGGAGGCAGCAGUGGGGAAUAUUGGACAAUGGGCGAAAGCCUGAUCCAGCAAUGCCGCGUGAGUGAUGAAGGCCUUAGGGUGUAAGCUCUUUACCCGGGAUAUAAUGACUGUACCGGAGAAUAACGCCCGGCUAACUCCGCGCCAGCAGCCGC